UGCCUAAUACAUGCAAGUAGAACGCUGAAGAGAGGAGCUUGCUCUUCUUGGAUGAGUUGCGAACGGGUGAGUAACGCGUAGGUAACCUGCCUUGUAGCGGGGGAUAACUAUUGGAAACGAUAGCUAAUACCGCAUAACAAUGGAUGACACAUGUCAUUUAUUUGAAAGGGGCAAUUGCUCCACUACAAGAUGGACCUGCGUUGUAUUAGCUAGUAGGUGAGGUAACGGCUCACCUAGGCGACGAUACAUAGCCGACCUGAGAGGGUGAUCGGCCACACUGGGACUGAGACACGGCCCAGACUCCUACGGGAGGCAGCAGUAGGGAAUCUUCGGCAAUGGGGGCAACCCUGACCGAGCAACGCCGCGUGAGUGAAGAAGGUUUUCGGAUCGUAAAGCUCUGUUGUAAGUCAAGAACGAGUGUGAGAGUGGAAAGUUCACACUGUGACGGUAGCUUACCAGAAAGGGACGGCUAACUACGUGCCAGCAGCCGCGGUAAUACGUAGGUCCCGAGCGUUGUCCGGAUUUAUUGGGCGUAAAGCGAGCGCAGGCGGUUUGAUAAGUCUGAAGUUAAAGGCUGUGGCUCAACCAUAGUUCGCUUUGGAAACUGUCAAACUUGAGUGCAGAAGGGGAGAGUGGAAUUCCAUGUGUAGCGGUGAAAUGCGUAGAUAUAUGGAGGAACACCGGUGGCGAAAGCGGCUCUCUGGUCUGUAACUGACGCUGAGGCUCGAAAGCGUGGGGAGCGAACAGGAUUAGAUACCCUGGUAGUCCACGCCGUAAACGAUGAGUGCUAGGUGUUGGAUCCUUUCCGGGAUUCAGUGCCGCAGCUAACGCAUUAAGCACUCCGCCUGGGGAGUACGACCGCAAGGUUGAAACUCAAAGGAAUUGACGGGGGGCCCGCACAAGCGGUGGAGCAUGUGGUUUAAUUCGAAGCAACGCGAAGAACCUUACCAGGUCUUGACAUCCCGAUGCUAUUUCUAGAGAUAGAAAGUUACUUCGGUACAUCGGUGACAGGUGGUGCAUGGUUGUCGUCAGCUCGUGUCGUGAGAUGUUGGGUUAAGUCCCGCAACGAGCGCAACCCCUAUUGUUAGUUGCCAUCAUUCAGUUGGGCACUCUAGCGAGACUGCCGGUAAUAAACCGGAGGAAGGUGGGGAUGACGUCAAAUCAUCAUGCCCCUUAUGACCUGGGCUACACACGUGCUACAAUGGUUGGUACAACGAGUUGCGAGUCGGUGACGGCAAGCUAAUCUCUUAAAGCCAAUCACAGUUCGGAUUGUAGGCUGCAACUCGCCUACAUGAAGUCGGAAUCGCUAGUAAUCGCGGAUCAGCACGCCGCGGUGAAUACGUUCCCGGGCCUUGUACACACCGCCCGUCACACCACGAGAGUUUGUAACACCCGAAGUCGGUGAGGUAACCUUUUGGAGCCAGCCGCCUAAGGUGGGAUAGAUGAUUGGGGUGAAGUCAUA
This 1462-nucleotide ribosomal RNA is filed under the name uncultured organism. Its description in RNAcentral is "SSU rRNA". It matches the Rfam family "Bacterial small subunit ribosomal RNA". The record is from RNAcentral.